Molecule: transfer RNA, 66 nt
Filed under: Perforatus perforatus
Lineage: Eukaryota; Metazoa; Arthropoda; Thecostraca; Balanomorpha; Balanidae
Description: tRNA-Ala
Source: RNAcentral
AAAGUAGAAGUUUCUAUAAUAUUUGACCUGCAAUCAGAAGAAGAUAAAUAAUAUUAUCCUACUUUG